RNAcentral lists this ribosomal RNA (301 nucleotides) under uncultured bacterium. RNAcentral describes it as "partial 16S ribosomal RNA". It matches the Rfam family "Bacterial small subunit ribosomal RNA", at positions 509 to 807 of the family's 1533-position model. The record is from RNAcentral.
CAGUAGCCGCGGUAAUACGUAGGGUGCAAGCGUUAAUCGGAAUUACUGGGCGUAAAGCGUGCGCAGGCGGUUCGUUAAGACAGAUGUGAAAUCCCCGGGCUUAACCUGGGAGCUGCAUUUGUGACUGGCGGGCUAGAGUAUGGCAGAGGGGGGUAGAAUUCCACGUGUAGCAGUGAAAUGCGUAGGGAUGUGGAGGAAUACCGAUGGCGAAGGCAGCCCCCUGGGCCAAUACUGACGCUCAUGCACGAAAGCGUGGGGAGCAAACAGGAUUAGAUACCCCUGUAGUCCCUGUCUCUUAUAC